UGGCUCAGAUUGAACGCUGGCGGCAUGCCUUACACAUGCAAGUCGAACGGCAGCGGACCUUCGGGUGCCGGCGAGUGGCGAACGGGUGAGUAAUAUAUCGGAACGUACCUUUCAGUGGGGGAUAACGUAGCGAAAGUUACGCUAAUACCGCAUAUUCUGUGAGCAGGAAAGCAGGGGAUCGCAAGACCUUGCGCUGAUUGAGCGGCCGAUAUCAGAUUAGCUAGUUGGUGAGGUAAAGGCUCACCAAGGCGACGAUCUGUAGCGGGUCUGAGAGGAUGAUCCGCCACACUGGAACUGAGACACGGUCCAGACUCCUACGGGAGGCAGCAGUGGGGAAUUUUGGACAAUGGGCGCAAGCCUGAUCCAGCCAUGCCGCGUGAGUGAAGAAGGCCUUCGGGUUGUAAAGCUCUUUCGGCCGGGAAGAAAUCGCACGGGUUAAUACCCUGUGUGGAUGACGGUACCGGAAUAAGAAGCACCGGCUAACUACGUG
This 490-nucleotide ribosomal RNA is filed under the name uncultured bacterium. Its description in RNAcentral is "bacterial SSU rRNA". It matches the Rfam family "Bacterial small subunit ribosomal RNA", at positions 20 to 507 of the family's 1533-position model. The record is from RNAcentral.